GCCCAUAUUCCUACGGGAAGCAGCAGUAGGGAAUUUUCCACAAUGGGCGAAAGCCUGAUGGAGCAAUGCCAUGUGAACGACGAAGGCCUAGACGGUUGUAAAGUUCUUUUAGGGGGGAAGACUAUGACGGUACCCCCUGAAUAAGUGACAGCAAACUAUGUGCCAGCAGCUGCGGUAAUACAUAGGUCGCGAGCGUUAUUCGGAUUUAUUGGGCGUAAAGCAAGCGCAGGCGGAUUGAUAAGUUCUGUGUUAAAAGCAGCUGCUCAACAGUUGUUUGCACCGAAUACUGUCAGUCUAGAAUGUGGUAGGGAGUUUCGGAAUUAAAUAUGGAGCGGUGGAAUGUGUAGAUAUAUUUAAGAACACCAGAAGCGAAGGCGGAAACUCAGGCCAUUAUUGACGCUUAGGCUUGAAAGUGUGGGGAGCAAAUGGGAUUAGAUACCCCAGUAGUCCACACCGUAAACGAUGGGUAUUAGAUGUCGGGGCUUGAGCUUCGGCGUUGUAGCUUACGUGUUAAAUACCCCGCCUGGGUAGUACAUAUGCAAAUAUGAAACUCAAAGGAAUUGACGGGGACCUGAACAAGUGGUGGAACAUGUUGCUUAAUUCGAUAAUACACGAAAAACCUUACCAAGGUUUGACAUCCCCCGCGAAGCCAUGGAAACAUGGUGGAGGUUAUCGGGGUGACAGGUGGUGCAUGGUUGUCGUCAGCUCGUGUCGUGAGAUGUUUGGUUAAGUCCCGCAACGAGCGCAACCCUACUCUUUAGUUGUCUAUUCUAGAGAGACUGAACAGUAAUGUAUAGGAAGGUUGGGAUCACGUCAAAUCAUCAUGCCCCUUAUGCCUUGGGCUGCAAACGUGUUACAAUGGCGAGUACAAUGUGCAGCAAGCUAGCGAUAGUAAGCAAAUCACCGAAAACUCGUCUCAGUUCGGAUAGGAGGCUGCAAUUCGCCUCCUUGAAGUUGGAAUCACUAGUAAUCCCGUGUCAGCCAUAUCGGGGUGAAUACGUUCCCAGGUCUUGUACACAC
This 1020-nucleotide ribosomal RNA is filed under the name uncultured Mycoplasma sp. RNAcentral describes it as "bacterial SSU rRNA". It matches the Rfam family "Bacterial small subunit ribosomal RNA", at positions 329 to 1390 of the family's 1533-position model. The record is from RNAcentral. Lineage: Bacteria; Bacillati; Mycoplasmatota; Mollicutes; Mycoplasmatales; Mycoplasmataceae.